UACGAAGGGGGCUAGCGUUGCUCGGAAUUACUGGGCGUAAAGCGCACGUAGGCGGCUUGCCAAGUCGGACGUGAAAUCCCUCAGCUCAACUGAGGACGUGCAUCCGAAACUGGCGAGCUUGAGUGCUGAAGAGGAUCGCGGAAUUCCCGGUGUAGAGGUGAAAUUCGUAGAUAUCGGGAGGAACACCAGUGGCGAAGGCGGCGAUCUGGGCAGACACUGACGCUGAGGUGCGAAAGCGUGGGGAGCAAACAGGG
RNAcentral lists this ribosomal RNA (254 nucleotides) under uncultured bacterium. RNAcentral's name for it is "partial 16S ribosomal RNA". It matches the Rfam family "Bacterial small subunit ribosomal RNA", at positions 524 to 777 of the family's 1533-position model. The record is from RNAcentral.